GCCCCACCGUAAAAUAUAUAUUUACACUAUCAACGCCAGGGUAUUACGAGCCUUAGCUUAAAACCCAAAGGACUUGACGGUGUCCCAUCCAACUAGAGGAGCCUGUUCUAUAAUCGAUAACCCCCGAUAUACCCAACCCCCCCUUGCCAACCAGCCUGUAUACCUCCGUCGUAAACUUACCAUAUGAAUGCCAACAGUAAGUUCAAUGAUUUAACACCAAUACGUCAGGUCAAGGUGCAGCUCAUGAUGGGGAAAGCAAUGGGCUACAAUUUCUAAAAUAGAACACACGGAAUGCUGCAUGAAACACAGCCACGAAGGUGGAUUUAGUAGUAAAAAGUAAAUAAAGUGCCCUUUUUAAUAAGGCCCUGGGACGUGUACACACCGCCCGUCACCCUCUUCAACAGCACACAUAUGUUCUUAACAAGUUUUGCUUACCGGAGGUGUACUUGGUUUACAAAGUGUACUUUAACAAAACUCCUCGCUUACAUCGAGAAAUUAUCUGUGCAAAUCAGAUUACUUUGAGCCAAAAAUCAAGCCUAACUACUCUUUUAUAAAAACUACACUCAACUAAGCCACAAUAAAACAUUUUAUUAGUUUAGUAAAGGAGAUUAAAAAACUCUUUAGCGCUUUACUGUUAGUACCGCAAGGGAAAGGUGAAAUAGUUUUGAAAUAGCCUUAAGCAAAAAAAAGCAGAGAUUAUUACUCGUAUUCCAAAAUACACCUUUAACCCUUUAUUCCUACUGAAUGAUUCUAUAUUUAUAUAGAAAUCCCCCUGCUAAAACUAGUAACAAGAAAUUGAUUAUUCUCCAAAAUAUUAGUAUAGGCCAAAAUGGACAAACCAUUGGUUAUUAACGUCAAUAAAAUAAUAUAGUAACUGUACUAGAAAAGCCUAUUAAUUCUCACGUUAACCUUACACAAGUAUAUUUCGGAAGAAUGAAAAGAAGUGAAAGAAUCGGCAAUCCGAUAGC
RNAcentral lists this unclassified non-coding RNA (968 nucleotides) under Limnonectes megastomias. RNAcentral describes it as "partial contains 12S ribosomal RNA, tRNA-Val, and 16S ribosomal RNA; may contain tRNA-Phe". The stretch from base 1 to 462 matches the Rfam family "Bacterial small subunit ribosomal RNA", at positions 794 to 1533 of the family's 1533-position model. The record is from RNAcentral. Lineage: Eukaryota; Metazoa; Chordata; Amphibia; Anura; Dicroglossidae.